This 402-nucleotide ribosomal RNA is filed under the name uncultured bacterium. Its description in RNAcentral is "bacterial SSU rRNA". It matches the Rfam family "Bacterial small subunit ribosomal RNA", at positions 356 to 773 of the family's 1533-position model. The record is from RNAcentral.
GGGGGAUAUUGCACAAUGGAGGAAACUCUGAUGCAGCGACGCCGCGUGAGGGAAGAAGGUCUUCGGAUUGUAAACCUCUGUCUUCGGGGACGAAAGAAAUGACGGUACUCGAGGAGGAAGCCACGGCUAACUACGUGCCAGCAGCCGCGGUAAAACGUAGGUGGCAAGCGUUAUCCGGAAUUACUGGGUGUAAAGGGAGCGCAGGCGGAACUGCAAGUUGGAUGUCAAAUCUACGGGCUCAACCCGUAUACGCAUUCAAAACUGCGGUUCUUGAGUAGUGCAGAGGUAGGCGGAAUUCCCGGUGUAGCGGUGGAAUGCGUAGAUAUCGGGAGGAACACCAGUGGCAAAGGCGGCCUGCUGGGCACCAACUGACGCUGAGGCUCGAAAGCAUGGGUAGCAAAC